This 398-nucleotide ribosomal RNA is filed under the name uncultured bacterium. RNAcentral's name for it is "partial 16S ribosomal RNA". It matches the Rfam family "Bacterial small subunit ribosomal RNA", at positions 359 to 776 of the family's 1533-position model. The record is from RNAcentral.
AUUGUUGCACAAUGGAGGAAACUCUGAUGCAGAGUCGCCGCGAGAGUGAUGAAGGUCUUCGGAUCGGAAUACCCUGUCCUUGGUGUCGAUAAUGACGGUAGCUGAGGAGGAAGCCCCGGCUAACUAUGUGCCAGCAGCCGCGGUAAUACGUAGGGGGCUAGCGUUGUCCGGAUUUACUGGGCGGAACGGGUUAGUAGGCGGUUAUGUAUGUCAGAUGGAAAAGGCGUGGGCUUAACUUACGUUAGCAUUUGAAACUGCAUAACUUGAGUGCGGGAGAGGUAAGUGGGAGUCCUAGUGUAGCGGUGAAAUGCGUAGAUAUUAGGAGGAACACCAGUGGCGAAGGCGACUUACUGGACCGUAACUGACGCUGAGUCACGAAAGCGUGGGUAGCAAACAGG